Long non-coding RNA from Dioscorea cayenensis subsp. rotundata (Guinea yam), 202 nucleotides. RefSeq lists it as uncharacterized. The record is from RefSeq and is a predicted model, not a curated record. Lineage: Eukaryota; Viridiplantae; Streptophyta; Magnoliopsida; Dioscoreales; Dioscoreaceae. The transcript is spliced from 3 exons.
UGCUUGUGCUUCUUCAGCCAUUGCCUGGAUCGCAUCUAGAAGCUUGGUUCCUUGGCAUAGGUUUAGCCUUUCAGCUGAAUCAUGAAGAGGCAUAUGUAUAAUCCAUCACGUGUGAAACUUUUGAGUAAACAUAUGUACCCAGAGGAGGUAUUCAAUGACGUGAAUCCUGAUCGUGCUUUCACAUUAUGGCGGUUCCGAACAU